CAGGCUUGUGGCCAGGCGGAAGGUUUGUCUCCAGAGCGUGUGGAACUGAGAAGGAUGCUCAGUGUCAGAGUUUCUGCUGAAUGGGUCAAUAAGCCCACCUCAGGUGUGGUGAGAACGUCUUUCAUGGGCUGCCUGGGAAGCACUACUGAAUGUAAUGCAGCACUGACCCUCCUGUGAAUCGAUUUCUCAGAAUGCCAUGCCACGCAGAUGAGAAGCCUUUGUCAGACAGUUUGGGUCAAGUCUGUCACCUGAUCCCUGACCUACAGCUUGUGGGAGCGGAGUGCAGUGGAUGAAGUCAUCAGAAAAGUGCAAAGGUCAUGGGUCCUUGUGGGGAGAGGUGGUUGUGCAAGGAGAACAGUGUAUUCAAAAUAAAUCAUUAAAUCAAAGAUGCCAGCCCUGGGCAGCUGUGUCUCUGCGCUGUGUCUGGUGUCUGUGGCUGGGUGGCUGCAAGAGCUCUCACGCCAUGGGUUUGAAGUGUAUGGUCACCACUCAGCAUCAGAGAAGAGUUAGUGUGCAGUGCUGUGUGCCUUGCUCCCCUAACCUGAAGGACAAAAGCCUACAGUGAGAAGGAUUUUUCAAAGGAGUGCAGCAGGCAAGCAGAAAAAAGAAGGGAAUUGUGGUGUUGCAGCUAUUCAUUGCAUCUGUUGUAGGUGGAUUGUCGACAAUGGUUGUUAUGCAAACUCUGAGCACUGGCUUCAGGAGCUUCUUGGAAACCUGCAAUGAGUAAUCUUCAUGUUUCUGCCAGGUCUACAAAGAGGGAGGGUGCAGUUUUGCCACAGGGCUGUUCAGAUUUUUUCCUCCUCUCCCCUUCCAUAUGGGGAAGAAUAAAGUGAAGAAACAACAUUUUCAGAGAAGAAAGACUUGGAAAGAGUUUUUGUUUUCUGGGAGUCUGCUACAGCUGUUAAUUUGUGGAAAACCUCAGUGGAAAGUCAGCAAUAUGGCAGCAUCACUUUACACGAGAAUCCAGUGAUGGCCCUGCUCCAAGCCCUGGCUGUUUUAGGUUCUUGGCUUGCACAGCCAAACCUUCAUGUAGUGUCAUGCUUUUUUAUAGAUAAUGUUGAUGCAGCUGUGGAAGGCUCUGAUGUUCUUUUUUUUUUUAACGUGGAAUUGUCGUCAUUCAAUCAAGCUUAAGUAUUGUGGAGCUGUGAUGUUGUUUGUCUUUGGUUGUUAGAUGUUGGCGGGUGAGUCCAAGACGGCCUGAGAUGUUGUUUGGGAAAAAGAAAAGACUCCCUCCCUUCCUCCCUGCCUUCCCCACAGAAAUGCACACAGACCAUAACUUCCAUCCAAAAAUGCAGGAAUGCUGAGAAAAAUUGGAGCUGGGCUUGAACAUUGCGGGCUGGGCCCCCCCCGCCUCUCCAAAGCACGCACGCUCUUCUCUUCCUGUAGACUUUGUUCCUCUCCAGCAUUUGUCAUGCAUAGUUGGUGGCACAUCAAGAUUUUGAAUACUGUACUGAAUGCAACAACCUCUUUUUUUUCUUGGAUGGACAUUUUGUUUGUGGAGAAUGCAGCAUGGUGCUCAGCUGUCUGGGCAGAAAUGAACAUUGAAUGAAAUGAAAUUUUCAGCUAUGUGACAGCUAGUAGAUCAGAGAUUAGUUUUCCAGUAGAAAUGUCCAAUUAUUUAAACCUCUCCAGCAGAUGAAAGAGCUUUUGACAAUCUGUUUUGCUGAAAAGCCCUGCAAUUUGUUUGGCAUAGAUUAGAUGACCUAUUAGAGAUGAGAAAAAGGGAAAAAGAUUUAUAAUUAAUGUCAGCCCAGCCGUUAACUUGGGGAGUAUUGCUGAAUUGUAGCACAAGUCAUAUCGUUCAGCUAUUUCUGCAGUGACAAUUCAUGUGUAUAUUGCAGUGUGUGUCAGCAGCUUUCUGUGCAGCUGUGUUUGGUUGCAGGGUCUUGAGUUUCCCAUUCCCAGGUAAUGCAUUAACAUGCUCAGCUGCUUCUCCAAGGCCCUGCCUCCUUUUUGAAGGCAGGCCUUUAUGAAUGGGUAAGCCCCAUGUUUUUCCAGCGCUACCUUGUCACACAAUGACUGAUCCACUCACCUCCUUAUCUCUGGGCCAUAUGACUUUGAGUGUAUCUUCCUUGCCAACUUGGCUAGGUAUCAUGUUUCUUUCCCUGAGGGUGACUUAGGGCAGAACCCUUGAAUCCCUCAGAGUUUCCUGGAGCUCCUGGAAAGAAGAGGAAAACCAGAGAUGGGCCAGAAAGAAGCAGGCAGAGAAAGAUGAAAGAAUUUGGGGGUGGGAAGUACUCACUUUUGGAAUGAUCCUCCUCCUGGAUGGCCUAAGGCAAAGUAAUUUACACUUUUCGGCAACAUGCAGAAUUGCCCAGCCCUUACUCUUAUGAGUAAACAUUUCAAAGGUGCCUGCAGGGCCCUCUAUUUAUAUUUUUAUAAGCUACUUAGUCUCCUUUGAGUCUCAGGCUGUAUCCCCACUGCCAAUAGGGGAGUUUGCUCGAAGUGCAGUAGUGUCUCUUGGUGACAUCUGAGCUAGACUGAAGCAGCUGAGCUGCUUGAAGUAGUUUACUGCACAGCAGUCCAUGUUUCAAAGCACUGUACCUGCCUGCUGCAUUAUCUUUCUUGUGCCAACUCUUGUUUCAAGUAAAAGCUUUCAUUGCAACCCUACCUUCUCUGCAGCCGCUCGCUGAGACUCAAGACAUAGCACAGUCCUGGUAGGGUAUUGGGUUCAGGAGCUGGACUCACUUUGGUCUUUUUGUAAACUUUUUAUAUGGCUGAACCCACAAUCUGUGUUAGCACUGUUAAAUGCUUUCCUGUUUUCCUCUUCCCCUUGAACUUAUGCUGCUGUUCUAACCGAGAAUCGUAUUCUGUUUCUAAUGACAGAGCAAAGGUGCCAAAAUAUUUCAGUAGCUCCCCUAGGAACAUCUGCAACUUCUUUAGCUAUUUUCACAGCUGGCCAUAACUUUAUGUUAUUUUUGAAUGCUCGUAGCACCAAAUCUGGGAUCCUGGAGGAGAACAAUGGCUAAUUUCCUUGUAUCGGAAUUUGUAAUUUGCAAGAAGAUGCACUAGCAACUUUGAAUAAAUGCUGAGAGACGGAACUAAGAGGGAUUUUUCAUCUGAAAGGCAAAGUUGCUAAACUCCAGAGUUUAGACUGGUGUUCUGACAUAUGGUGUCAGAUAAGCUGGGGUUUGGUAAGGUCGAAACUUAUAGAAAUUUCAACUGAUAGUGCAACUACUGCUGAGAUUCAUGCUGCCCAUGUAGCAGAAGCUCCAUUGGAUCACUGCCUCCAGUAUGGUUGCUGUUAUCUUUGCUGGAAAUAGGAAGAGUAAAUUCUUACAGCUCUAAUGUGAGACUGAGUUCUUGGGGCUGGAAUUAAGUCAGGGAGUUUGAACUUCUACCCAGUGAAAUUCCUGUGGACCUUUAAUUGCCGCUCUGAUUUAUUACCUGCUAGUUGUGCUUAGCUGGUCUGAAAGUGAAAACAAGCUCAAGUUAUUUAAUCAAUAUAUUGAUCUAUCGCUCAUAAUUUGUGCUGUACCUCUUCACUCCCUAUACUGGUCUAUCAAAACAUGUAAAAAUAUGCUGGAAAGGUUCCAGCUUAUUUAACCACUAAGAAAUGUAUAAGAACCAAAAAAAGUCUGAGGCUUAUCUCACCCACAGCAACUGCACCCUGACCCUCAAUGAGUAAUGGGCUGUGCACUGUUUCUCGAGGAGGCAGAUCUGCAGUUGUGAUAUGAGCAUGGCUAAGAGUAGUGCUUGCAGGAUGAGAAACAGAGAACAGACUCAUAGAAUCAUUAAGAUUGGAAAAGAUCUCUAAGAUCACCUAGUCAAACCAUCAACCCAUCCCCACCAUAGCCAAUAACCAUGUCAUUCACUGCCACAUCUACAUGUAUGUGGAACACCUCCAGGGAUGGUGAUGCCAUCCUCUCCCAGGGCAACCUGUGCUACUGCCUCACUGCUCUUUCUGAGAAGGAAUGUUUCCUAACAUGCAACCUGGAUGUCUCCUGGAGCAACUUGAGGCCAUUACCUAU
Long non-coding RNA from Centrocercus urophasianus (Greater sage-grouse), 3971 nucleotides. RefSeq lists it as uncharacterized. The record is from RefSeq and is a predicted model, not a curated record. NCBI's taxonomy places the organism in Eukaryota, Metazoa, Chordata, Aves, Galliformes, Phasianidae. The transcript has 3 exons.